CGUAUCAAGGAGCGUUGCGACAAGACAUCGAUCUUGCCAGGCUUGAUACCGUCACCAAGCAACUGCGCUCACGUUAC
Molecule: non-coding RNA, 77 nt
Filed under: Herbaspirillum sp.
Lineage: Bacteria; Pseudomonadati; Pseudomonadota; Betaproteobacteria; Burkholderiales; Oxalobacteraceae
Description: SAH sequence
Rfam family: SAH (S-adenosyl-L-homocysteine) riboswitch aptamer
Source: RNAcentral